AUAUAUUUAUGAUGAUCAAUAUAAUUCACCCCUAUAUAGGGUUUCAUAGUGGACAUGGUACUAUACCAAUCCUACAAUGGAAAACCAUGCAUUGAUGUUGUUUUGGAGCUUCAGUUUUUCAAUCGUUCAACACCAACGAAGGGAUUUGCUUAUUCGGUAACAAUUAUUUGCAUUGUUUUGUUUCUUCUUCGCUGCUAUUUUAGCAAUUGGUUCAAUGAAACUGUGGAUGGUUAAAUAUACAUUCAUUGCAAUCUAUUUAUUCUUGGUUCAUGUUUGCCAAGAAGAUCCAACUAUAUUUUAUGUCGGUAAUAAUAAUGGUUUAGUAUUGACUUUCAAGAAAUACCAUUUUGAUGAUAUGACUUAUGAGUA
This is a long non-coding RNA of Papaver somniferum (opium poppy), 369 nucleotides long. RefSeq lists it as uncharacterized. NCBI's taxonomy places the organism in Eukaryota, Viridiplantae, Streptophyta, Magnoliopsida, Ranunculales, Papaveraceae. The transcript has 2 exons. The record is from RefSeq and is a predicted model, not a curated record.